UCCUUAUUGUGAGCGGUGGAGGGAAUAGGCCCUGCGAAACCCGGCAACCUGCAUGUGCGACGGUGCUAAAUCCUACAAGAUAGUUCUUGAAAGAUGAGGU
Eubacterium brachy ATCC 33089 is the source of this 100-nucleotide regulatory RNA element. It matches the Rfam family "SAM riboswitch aptamer (S box leader)". From Rfam's summary of the family: The SAM riboswitch is found upstream of a number of genes which code for proteins involved in methionine or cysteine biosynthesis in Gram-positive bacteria. The record is from Rfam. Lineage: Bacteria; Bacillati; Bacillota; Clostridia; Peptostreptococcales; Anaerovoracaceae.